Molecule: ribosomal RNA, 468 nt
Filed under: uncultured bacterium
Lineage: Bacteria
Description: partial 16S ribosomal RNA
Rfam family: Bacterial small subunit ribosomal RNA
Source: RNAcentral
GAUGAACGCUGGCGGCGUGCUUAACACAUGCAAGUCGAACGGUGAAGGCGGAGCUUGCUCUGCUGGAUCAGUGGCGAACGGGUGAGUAACACGUGAGCAAUCUGCCCCUGACUCUGGGAUAAGCGCUGGAAACGGCGUCUAAUACUGGAUACGAGCUGCGAAGGCAUCUUCAGCAGCUGGAAAGAAUUUCGGUCAGGGAUGAGCUCGCGGCCUAUCAGCUUGUUGGUGAGGUAAUGGCUCACCAAGGCGUCGACGGGUAGCCGGCCUGAGAGGGUGACCGGCCACACUGGGACUGAGACACGGCCCAGACUCCUACGGGAGGCAGCAGUGGGGAAUAUUGCACAAUGGGCGAAAGCCUGAUGCAGCAACGCCGCGUGAGGGACGACGGCCUUCGGGUUGUAAACCUCUUUUAGCAGGGAAGAAGCGAAAGUGACGGUACCUGCAGAAAAAGCGCCGGCUAACUACGUA